CGCGGAGGAGGAAAAGGAGAGCAGGGAGAGGAGCGUCCCCGGAGAGAAGCCCGCUCCAGCUGCAGCCGCGAGUCCCCUCCCUCCUUCCCGCCCCGCAAAUGCGGAGAUGGCGGCGGCAGCUGCGAAGGGAAGCACCGGUUCUCCAGCGCCACUCGGCGCGCCUACACCGCCCGCCACGAGCAGAAGGAGACAGCCGCGGCGCCGCGGCUGCUGGGUCAAUAGGCGCCCGCAGCCGGAGCCGAACAGGCGGCUGGCCCCGCCCUCUCUCGACGCGCCGGGGCGGGGGCGGGGCCUCCGGCGACCAAUCACAGUGCGCCGCCCAUCGGGCCCGCUCCGCGCCCGUCUCCCUGCGCCCAGGCGGAGAAGACCUCAGACGGCUUUUGUGAACCGGAUGGCAGCCUAGGUGGAGGUGAGGCCUUCAGAGGCCUGCCAGCGCCAGCACUCCGGUUCCACAGGGGCUGAGCUCUCUCCCCACUUCCUUUUCGCUGCCCAGGUUUCCUGUCCUUGAGGACCGGGCCUGGCGUGCCUGGGAUGUCAACUCGGUGAGGAGCUGUAGAAAUAGAGAAAGGGCCUUUGCAUUCUGUUCAGACUCAUCUUCUCCUCUGUUGCUUUUGGUGAUUUCUUGGUGAAACGGAGGGAAAGGAGACUGCCAAACGACCUCUGGCUACAGAGUCUCUGAGUGGAGCCUGAGAAGUGAUGCUUGUGCAGGUUAUUGCUCUAUUGCCGCGCUGUUCCAAAUCCGCCCUUUUUGACUGCACUGUGAAAAUGGAUCUGGGCCCUUUUAAGCAUCUCGUGUUUUCUUCUGGCAUCCAUGAAACAGUGACAGGCCCCAGACCCUUCACAGAUCCUGAAACUACUCGUCUGCCUAAGAGAAUCAUGACACUGUUGGCAUAAUCUUCACCUCCUUAUGCUUUCCCUUCCAUGAAGCUAAGAAUGAGGAUGAGUCAAGUAACAUAAUAAACUUCUGAGAAGGUUUCUCUUAGUAGACUACGAAGCUAAAGAUCAAGAUGUGGAAAGAAUAACAAAUCUCUUAGUGAAAAAACAGCCAAGAAAAUUACUGCUCUCCUAGCUCAAAGAGAAACAUUAAUUAAAGGUAAGACACAGGCAAGAAAUAAAAUGGAGAACUUGUAAGAGUAAAUUAUAUUAUAAUUAACA
This is a long non-coding RNA of Mirounga angustirostris (Northern elephant seal), 1155 nucleotides long. RefSeq lists it as uncharacterized. Lineage: Eukaryota; Metazoa; Chordata; Mammalia; Carnivora; Phocidae. The record is from RefSeq and is a predicted model, not a curated record. The transcript has 3 exons.